This 582-nucleotide ribosomal RNA is filed under the name uncultured bacterium. RNAcentral describes it as "bacterial SSU rRNA". It matches the Rfam family "Bacterial small subunit ribosomal RNA", at positions 60 to 640 of the family's 1533-position model. The record is from RNAcentral.
AGUCGACGGUAACAGAACUAGCUUGCUAGUUGCUGACGAGUGGCGGACGGGUGAGUAAUACUUAGGGAUCUGCCUCUGUGUGGGGGAUAACUAUUGGAAACGAUAGCUAAUACCGCAUAACGUCUACGGACCAAAGAGGGCUUCGGCUCUCGCGCAGAGAGGAACCUAAGCGAGAUUAGCUUGUUGGUGAGGUAAAGGCUCACCAAGGCGACGAUCUCUAGCUGUUCUGAGAGGAAGAUCAGCCACACUGGAACUGAGACACGGUCCAGACUCCUACGGGAGGCAGCAGUGGGGAAUAUUGCACAAUGGGGGCAACCCUGAUGCAGCCAUGCCGCGUGUGUGAAGAAGGCCUUCGGGUUGUAAAGCACUUUCAGUUGUGAGGAAAGGUUAGUAGUUAAUACCUGCUAGCUGUGACGUUAACAACAGAAGAAGCACCGGCUAACUCCGUGCCAGCAGCCGCGGUAAUACGGAGGGUGCGAGCGUUAAUCGGAAUUACUGGGCGUAAAGCGCACGCAGGCGGUCUGUUAAGCUAGAUGUGAAAGCCCCGCGCUCAACGUGGGAGGGUCAUUUAGAACUGGCAGA